RNAcentral lists this ribosomal RNA (207 nucleotides) under uncultured bacterium. RNAcentral's name for it is "partial 16S ribosomal RNA". It matches the Rfam family "Bacterial small subunit ribosomal RNA", at positions 568 to 774 of the family's 1533-position model. The record is from RNAcentral.
AGCGUAGACGGUGUGGCAAGUCUGAUGUGAAAGGCAUGGGCUCAACCUGUGGACUGCGUUGGAAACUGUCAUACUUGAGUGCCGGAGGGGUAAGCGGAAUUCCUAGUGUAGCGGUGAAAUGCGUAGAUAUUAGGAGGAACACCAGUGGCGAAGGCGGCUUACUGGACGGUAACUGACGUUGAGGCUCGAAAGCGUGGGGAGCAAACA